This 598-nucleotide long non-coding RNA is filed under the name Nicotiana benthamiana. RNAcentral describes it as "long non-coding RNA (NBEN_LNC021101)". The record is from RNAcentral. Lineage: Eukaryota; Viridiplantae; Streptophyta; Magnoliopsida; Solanales; Solanaceae.
UUGCAUUAAAAAUUAAAAAUCCACUUAUAACUACGAUAGAUACAUACAAAAUAUAUAGCGCCUUCUAAUUAAUAAUACAUCAUACUUCCCCAGAGUGCAAACCAUCUGCGUAAUAUAAUUGCAUAACUGUAUAAUAUCUAUCAUUAAACCACUCUGCAGUACUUAAAAAACUGUAAUUUGCUGAGCUGAUCCGUAUUCGAUUUUGGCAAUCUUUUAAUUCUCCGCAUCGUCUUACGAGCAAAAGAAGCUGAUCUCUGAGCUUCUCAUGCGCUGCUAUGUUAAAGUUGCUGCUAAAAUGACGCAACAUAUUUGAGCAGAUUCCAAGUAUUGUAAUUUAACCCCAACAACUUAGGUACAUGACUUGUCGUAGCGAGUCAUCAGUUUGUUUCCUCUUUGUCUCCCCAACUAUUCCAGUCGUCCCAAUAAAGCUUCCUCUAAGAUCAGAACCCAAAAAACCAGAGAAUAACUUAACAUCAGAAGCGUCGGAUUUCCACUUCUCACCAUGAUCUGAAUAUCCAUUUACUACAGCUACGCUAGCAGCCAUCCACACUCGAUUCAAGUUCAUCAUCAUGUAUAUUUGUUGUUUUUUGAUUGAUAU